This 407-nucleotide ribosomal RNA is filed under the name uncultured bacterium. RNAcentral's name for it is "bacterial SSU rRNA". It matches the Rfam family "Bacterial small subunit ribosomal RNA", at positions 355 to 774 of the family's 1533-position model. The record is from RNAcentral.
UGGGGAAUAUUGCACAAUGGGCGCAAGCCUGAUGCAGCAACGCCGCGUGAGGGACGACGGCCUUCGGGUUGUAAACCUCUUUUGGCAGGGAAGAAGCGAAAGUGACGGUACCUGCAGAAAAAGCACCGGCUAACUACGUGCCAGCAGCCGCGGUGAUACGUAGGGUGCAAGCGUUGUCCGGAAUUAUUGGGCGUAAAGAGCUCGUAGGCGGUUUGUCGCGUCUGCUGUGAAAACCCGAGGCUCAACCUCGGGCCUGCAGUGGGUACGGGCAAACUAGAGUGCGGUAGGGGAUAUUGGAAUUCCUGGUGUUGCGGUGGAAUGCGCAGAUAUCAGGAGGAACACCGAUGGCGAAGGCAGAUCUCUGGGCCGUAACUGACGCUGAGGAGCGAAAGCAUGGGGAGCGAACA